UUGUACCUGGUGGCGAGCGGCGGACGGGUGAGUAAUGCCUAGGAAUCUGCCUGGUAGUGGGGGAUAACGCUCGGAAACGGACGCUAAUACCGCAUACGUCCUACGGGAGAAAGCAGGGGACCUUCGGGCCUUGCGCUAUCAGAUGAGCCUAGGUCGGAUUAGCUAGUUGGUGAGGUAAUGGCUCACCAAGGCGACGAUCCGUAACUGGUCUGAGAGGAUGAUCAGUCACACUGGAACUGAGACACGGUCCAGACUCCUACGGGAGGCAGCAGUGGGGAAUAUUGGACAAUGGGCGAAAGCCUGAUCCAGCCAUGCCGCGUGUGUGAAGAAGGUCUUCGGAUUGUAAAGCACUUUAAGUUGGGAGGAAGGGCAUUUACCUAAUACGUAAGUGUUUUGACGUUACCGACAGAAUAAGCACCGGCUAACUCUGUGCCAGCAGCCGCGGUAAUACAGAGGGUGCARGCGUUAAUCGGAAUUACUGGGCGUAAAGCGCGCGUAGGUGGUUUGUUAAGUUGGAUGUGAAAUCCCCGGGCUCAACCUGGGAACUGCAUUCAAAACUGACAAG
This 565-nucleotide ribosomal RNA is filed under the name Pseudomonas mandelii. RNAcentral's name for it is "bacterial SSU rRNA". The record is from RNAcentral. Lineage: Bacteria; Pseudomonadati; Pseudomonadota; Gammaproteobacteria; Pseudomonadales; Pseudomonadaceae.